Molecule: ribosomal RNA, 320 nt
Filed under: uncultured Prevotella sp.
Lineage: Bacteria; Pseudomonadati; Bacteroidota; Bacteroidia; Bacteroidales; Prevotellaceae
Description: partial 16S ribosomal RNA
Source: RNAcentral
GGAGUUUGGGCCGUGUCUCAGUCCCAAUGUGGCCGAUCACUCUCUCAAGUCGGCUACUGAUCGUUGCCUUGGUAGGCCGUUACCCCGCCGGCAAGCUAAUCAGACGCAUCCCCAUCCCUUACCGAUGAAUCUUUGCUCCUCGUUAGAUGCCUGCAAAGGAGAACAUAGAGUAUUAAUCCGACUUUCGCCGGGCUAUCCUCUAGUAAGGGGAAGGUUGGAUACGCGUUACUCACCCGUGCGCCGGUCGCCAUCAAAGGAAGCAAGCUUCCUUCAUGCUGCCCCACGACUUGCAUGUGUUAAGCCUGUAGCUAGCGUUCAUC